RNAcentral lists this ribosomal RNA (516 nucleotides) under uncultured Rhodoplanes sp. Its description in RNAcentral is "bacterial SSU rRNA". It matches the Rfam family "Bacterial small subunit ribosomal RNA", at positions 117 to 668 of the family's 1533-position model. Lineage: Bacteria; Pseudomonadati; Pseudomonadota; Alphaproteobacteria; Hyphomicrobiales; Nitrobacteraceae. The record is from RNAcentral.
GUGGGAACGUACCCUUCAGUUCGGAACAACCCAGGGAAACUUGGGCUAAUACCGAAUACGUCCGUAAGGAGAAAGAUUUAUCGCUGAAGGAUCGGCCCGCGUCUGAUUAGCUAGUUGGUGAGGUAACGGCUCACCAAGGCGACGAUCAGUAGCUGGUCUGAGAGGAUGAUCAGCCUCAUUGGGACUGAGACACGGCCCAAACUCCUACGGGAGGCAGCAGUGGGGAAUAUUGGACAAUGGGCGCAAGCCUGAUCCAGCCAUGCCGCGUGGAUGAUGAAGGCCCUAGGGUUGUAAAGUCCUUUCGACGGGGAAGAUAAUGACGGUACCCGUAGAAGAAGCCCCGGCUAACUUCGUGCCAGCAGCCGCGGUAAUACGAAGGGGGCUAGCGUUGCUCGGAAUCACUGGGCGUAAAGCGCACGUAGGCGGACUCUUAAGUCGGUGGUGAAAUCCUGGAGCUCAACUCCAGAACUGCCUUCGAUACUGAGAGUCUCGAGUCCGGGAGAGGUGAGUGGAACU